AGGGUUCGAUUCUGGCUCAGGACGAACGCUGGCGGCGUGCCUAAUACAUGCAAGUAGAACGCUGAAGACUUUAGCUUGCUAAAGUUGGAAGAGUUGCGAACGGGUGAGUAACGCGUAAGCAACCUGCCCUUCAGAUGGGGACAACAGCUGGAAACGGCUGCUAAUACCGAAUACGUUCUUUCCGCCGCAUGACGGAAUGAAGAAAGGGAGGCCUUCGGGCUUUCGCUGGAGGAGGGGCUUGCGUCUGAUUAGCUGGUUGGAGGGGUAACGGCCCACCAAGGCGACGAUCAGUAGCCGGUCUGAGAGGAUGAACGGCCACAUUGGGACUGAGACACGGCCCAG
RNAcentral lists this ribosomal RNA (342 nucleotides) under uncultured bacterium. RNAcentral describes it as "bacterial SSU rRNA". It matches the Rfam family "Bacterial small subunit ribosomal RNA", at positions 8 to 334 of the family's 1533-position model. The record is from RNAcentral.